RNAcentral lists this ribosomal RNA (293 nucleotides) under uncultured bacterium. RNAcentral's name for it is "partial 16S ribosomal RNA". It matches the Rfam family "Bacterial small subunit ribosomal RNA", at positions 65 to 339 of the family's 1533-position model. The record is from RNAcentral.
AACGCGAUUGAGGUUUCGGCCUCAGUUGAGUGGCGAACGGGUGAGGUAACACGUGGGUGACCUACCUUCGAAUCGGGGGAUAACGUCCCGAAAGGGGACGCUAAUACCGCAUAAUAUCCCUGCUCUUUGAAUGGGCGGAGAUCAAAGCUGGGGAUCGUAAGACCUGGCGUUUGAAGAGGGACCUGCGCCCGAUUAGCUAGUUGGUGGGGUAACGGCUCACCAAGGCGACGAUCGGGUAGCCGGCCUGAGAGGGCGGACCGGCCACACUGGGACUGAGACACGGCCCAGACUCC